RNAcentral lists this ribosomal RNA (485 nucleotides) under uncultured Gammaproteobacteria bacterium. Its description in RNAcentral is "bacterial SSU rRNA". It matches the Rfam family "Bacterial small subunit ribosomal RNA", at positions 35 to 510 of the family's 1533-position model. The record is from RNAcentral. Lineage: Bacteria; Pseudomonadati; Pseudomonadota; Gammaproteobacteria.
GCUGGCGGCAUGCCUAACACAUGCAAGUCGAACGGCAGCGCGGGUAGCUUGCUACCUGGCGGCGAGUGGCGAACGGGUGAGUAAUGCUUAGGAAUCUGCCCAGUAGUGGGGGACAACCCGAGGAAACUCGGGCUAAUACCGCAUACGCUCUACGGAGGAAAGCGGGGGAUCUUCGGACCUCGCGCUAUUGGAUGAGCCUAAGUCGGAUUAUCUUGUUGGUGGGGUAAAGGCCUACCAAGGCGACGAUCCGUAGCUGGUCUGAGAGGACGAUCAGCCACACUGGGACUGAGACACGGCCCAGACUCCUACGGGAGGCAGCAGUGGGGAAUAUUGGACAAUGGGCGCAAGCCUGAUCCAGCAAUGCCGCGUGUGUGAAGAAGGCCUGCGGGUUGUAAAGCACUUUCAGCAGGGAAGAAAAGCCUGGGGUUAAUACCCCCGAGUCUUGACGUUACCCGCAGAAGAAGCACCGGCCUAACUCCGUGCCA